AUAUCAGUCAUGCAUAGCAUAUCAAUAAGCGGAGGAAAAGAAACUAACAAGGAUUCCCUUAGCAACGGCGAGUGAAGCGGGAAGAGCUCAAAUUUGAAAUCUUCAAGGUUUUACCUUGACGAAUUGUAGUUUAAAGAAGUGUUUUCUGUUGAAGUUUUGGUAAAAGUUCUUUGGAAUAGGACAUCAUAGAGGGUGAGAAUCCCGUAUUUGACCAUUACUUUCAGCUUUGUGAUACACUUUCAAAGAGUCGGAUUGUUUGGGAAUGCAGUCCAAAAUGGGUGGUAAAUUUCAUCUAAAGCUAAAUAUUGGCGAGAGACCGAUAGCGAACAAGUACCGUGAGGGAAAGAUGAAAAGAACUUUGAAAAGAGAGUUAAACAGUACGUGAAAUUGUCAAAAGGGAAGCGUUUGACACCAGUGUUGUUUUCUCGAAAAUCAAUUAAAAAGAGUUGGAUUUUGUGUUGUAUUGACUUUAUCAGCUUUCUUCACUCUUUUCCAGCUUUUUUUAAUGCACUUUUCGUUUAACAAGUCAACAUCAGUUUCUUUUGUUGUAAAAAGGUCAUUGGAAGGUGGCUUUCUCUUCGGAGAAAGUGUUUAUAGCCUUUGACUCAUGCAAUCGGAGAGACUGAGGUCUGCAGCGUAGAUCCUUCGGGGUUAGAUACAUUUGUGCUAAGUUAUAGCUUUUCAUAGACAACUUGUUGACUAUGUUUAGUCUUGUAGCUUACUCGCUUAUGCUAUUUUACCUACGCUUAGGAUGUUGAACUCUAUCACACACAG
RNAcentral lists this ribosomal RNA (774 nucleotides) under uncultured Neocallimastigales. Its description in RNAcentral is "partial large subunit ribosomal RNA". It matches the Rfam family "Eukaryotic large subunit ribosomal RNA", at positions 22 to 621 of the family's 3401-position model. The record is from RNAcentral. Lineage: Eukaryota; Fungi; Neocallimastigomycota; Neocallimastigomycetes; Neocallimastigales.